This 1299-nucleotide long non-coding RNA is filed under the name Oryctolagus cuniculus (rabbit). Its description in RNAcentral is "lncRNA (ENSOCUG00000038046.1)". The record is from RNAcentral. Lineage: Eukaryota; Metazoa; Chordata; Mammalia; Lagomorpha; Leporidae.
AUGCUGCCCUGUGCCAGCGCGCAGCUCUGCGCUCUGGGCAGCCAGGCCUGCUGGAGCUGGGUGCACAUUUCUCCUCUGGGGGCUGGACAGGAGAGCUGGCCAGCACCCCUGUCGUCAGAUGUCACCCACCCCACCUCACACUGGCACGGAGGCUCGGCGAGGCGGGAGCAGGGCUGUGUCCCCGGCUGGUGGACACAGGAGGCUGAGUGGGCGGAGCUUCAGGCAGCCCGGGGCGGGCCCCAGGGAACCCUCCUCCCUGGCCUUGGGCAGCGCCUGGCCUUCCGGUCUGUGCGGGCCUUGACCAGGGCUCAGCGGCCCACGGCAGUAGAAGCUGGGACGCGCAGUCCAGGAUCUGCCCCCUCCCAGCGCAGCCCACGGCCAGUGGCCACUUCCACGCGUCCAGUCCCUCACACAGCCUCCAGGGGGCCCGGCAGGUGGUCGAAGAGAGGUGGUGAAGGUGGAAAACAAAGGACGGGCGGGAACCAUGGCUGGCGACCACCUGCGGCGGGCAGCACAGCGCAGCGGGCGUUAUCUCAGUCUCCACCGGUCGCCCUGCUGUCUCCGGAGAGGGGUGUCGAGGUCCCCGUCUCACCUGAGAUGCAGCCGCAUUCAAGCCCCGGGCAGCCCGGCAUGGCCACUCCCUGGAGCCCCGGCCUGGCACACACUCCCCCCAGCCCCGCACAAGGCUUCUGCCAGAGCACCUGCUCCACCCUCCAGGUCGGGGGAGCAGAGAAGCAGCCUGUGUUGUCCUCGCCUCGGUACAGGCUUCUCCCCGUGGACCCUCCCUGCAGCCUGUGGGGUGGGGCCGGGGUCAACUCCAAAGGCCUCCUCCUGCUACUGCCUCUCCCCAGUACAAAGCAGACACCCAGCUGGGCCCCACCCCGGGGACUGCUCUACAUGCUGAGGGCCUCGGGGAAGAAGCAAUCCUCAGCCGGUCAGGGAAGGCUUCCUGGAGGAGGAGGUGUUGAUGGGCGGGGCAGGGAGUGGGUGCUCCAGGCAGAGAGAAGAGCCCAGAUGGAGGAGAGCAGCUGUCCAGCCCCGAACGUGCUGGGAACCGGAAGUGGGACCCUGCCCGUGCCCACGCCACAGGAAGUCAGGAAGGCAGGCGUGUGGUGGGCACCUCUGAGGGCAGCAGGCACGAGCCUGGAGCAGUUCAGCCGGGAAGCAGCGAGGCUGCUGGUGGAGAGGACUGGACCGAGCUGGGAUCGUUCUCACAUAUGCUCACACCCUCACACACGCACACACACUCACACACACUCACACACACACACCCUUACAAUCACACACUCACUCUUAUAA